CCUACGGGUGGCAGCAGUAGGGAAUCUUCCACAAUGGGCGAAAGCCUGAUGGAGCAACGCCGCGUGGGUGAAGAAGGUCUUCGGAUCGUAAAACCCUGUUGUUAGAGAAGAAAGGGCGUGAGAGUAACUGUCCACGAUUCGACGGUAUCUAACCAGGAAGCCACGGCUAACUACGUGCCAGCAGCCGCGGUAAUACGUAGGGGGCAAGCGUUAUCCGGAUUUACUGGGCGUAAAGGGAACGUAGGCGGUAUUUUAAGUCUGAUGUGAAAGCCUUCGGCUUAACGGGAGUAGUGCAUUGGAAACUGGGAGACUGUAGUGCAGAAGAGGAGAGUGGAACGCCAUGUGU
RNAcentral lists this ribosomal RNA (346 nucleotides) under uncultured bacterium. Its description in RNAcentral is "partial 16S ribosomal RNA". It matches the Rfam family "Bacterial small subunit ribosomal RNA", at positions 338 to 676 of the family's 1533-position model. The record is from RNAcentral.